GAUGAACGCUGGCGGCGUGCCUAAUACAUGCAAGUCGAGCGAACAGACGAGGAGCUUGCUCCUCUGACGUUAGCGGCGGACGGGUGAGUAACACGUGGAUAACCUACCUAUAAGACUGGGAUAACUUCGGGAAACCGGAGCUAAUACCGGAUAACAUGUUGAACCGCAUGGUUCAACAGUGAAAGACGGUUUUGCUGUCACUUAUAGAUGGAUCCGCGUCGCAUUAGCUAGUUGGUAAGGUAACGGCUUACCAAGGCAACGAUGCGUAGCCGACCUGAGAGGGUGAUCGGCCACACUGGAACUGAGACACGGUCCAGACUCCUACGGGAGGCAGCAGUAGGGAAUCUUCCGCAAUGGGCGAAAGCCUGACGGAGCAACGCCGCGUGAGUGAAGAAGGUCUUCGGAUCGUAAAACUCUGUUAUUAGGGAAGAACAAAUGUGUAAGUAACUAUGCACGUCUUGACGGUACCUAAUCAGAAAGCCAUGGCUAACUACGUG
This 497-nucleotide ribosomal RNA is filed under the name uncultured bacterium. Its description in RNAcentral is "partial 16S ribosomal RNA". It matches the Rfam family "Bacterial small subunit ribosomal RNA", at positions 28 to 507 of the family's 1533-position model. The record is from RNAcentral.